GUGGGGAAUAUUGCACAAUGGGCGAAAGCCUGAUGCAGCAACGCCGCGUGAGGGACGACGGCCUUCGGGUUGUAAACCUCUUUUAGUAGGGAAGAAGCGAAAGUGACGGUACCUGCAGAAAAAGCACCGGCUAACUACGUGCCAGCAGCCGCGGUAAUACGUAGGGUGCAAGCGUUAUCCGGAAUUAUUGGGCGUAAAGAGCUCGUAGGCGGUCUGUCGCGUCUGCUGUGAAAACUGGAGGCUCAACCUCCAGCCUGCAGUGGGUACGGGCAGACUAGAGUGCGGUAGGGAAGAUUGGAAUUCCUGGUGUAGCGGUGGAAUGCGCAGAUAUCAGGAGGAACACCGAUGGCGAAGGCAGAUCUCUGGGCCGUAACUGACGCUGAGGAGCGAAAGCGUGGGGAGCGAACAGGAUUAGAUACCCGAGUAGUCC
This 430-nucleotide ribosomal RNA is filed under the name uncultured bacterium. RNAcentral describes it as "bacterial SSU rRNA". It matches the Rfam family "Bacterial small subunit ribosomal RNA", at positions 354 to 796 of the family's 1533-position model. The record is from RNAcentral.